Molecule: ribosomal RNA, 233 nt
Filed under: uncultured bacterium
Lineage: Bacteria
Description: partial 16S ribosomal RNA
Rfam family: Bacterial small subunit ribosomal RNA
Source: RNAcentral
UGAGUAACCUGCCCUUAACUCUGGGAUAAGCCUGUGAAACUGGGUCUAAUACCGGAUAUGACUCCUCAUCGCAUGGUGGGGGGUGGAAAGCCUUAUUGUGGUUUUGGAUGGACUCGCGGCCUAUCAGCUUGUUGGUGAGGUAAUGGCUCACCAAGGCGACGACGGGUAGCCGGCCUGAGAGGGUGACCGGCCACACUGGGACUGAGACACGGCCCAGACUCCUACGGGAGCAG